UUGACCUCGGAUUAGGUA
Molecule: ribosomal RNA, 18 nt
Filed under: Jackrogersella cohaerens
Lineage: Eukaryota; Fungi; Ascomycota; Sordariomycetes; Xylariales; Hypoxylaceae
Description: partial 28S ribosomal RNA
Source: RNAcentral